CCCUUAGACGUUCUGGGCCGCACGCGCGCUACACUGACACAGGCAACGAGCUUUCCUUUACCGAAAGGUAUGGGUAAUCUUUUGAAACUGUGCCGUGCUGGGGAUAGAUCCUUGCAAUUUUUGAUCUUAAACGAGGAAUUCCUAGUAAGCGCGAGUCAUCAACUCGCGUUGAUUACGUCCCUGCCCUUUGUACACACCGCCCGUCGCUACUACCGAUUGAAUGGCUUAGUGAGGCCUCAGGAUCCGCGCUUAAUGUGUGGAGAAUUUGGACAAACUACGUCAUUUAGAGGAAGUAAAAGUCGUAACA
This 307-nucleotide ribosomal RNA is filed under the name uncultured eukaryote. Its description in RNAcentral is "partial 18S ribosomal RNA". It matches the Rfam family "Eukaryotic small subunit ribosomal RNA", at positions 1470 to 1796 of the family's 1831-position model. The record is from RNAcentral.